UUUUAUGAGAGUUUGAUCCUGGCUCAGGACGAACGCUGGCGGCGUGCCUAAUACAUGCAAGUCGAACGCUUCUUUUUCCACCGGAGCUUGCUCCACCGGAAAAAGAAGAGUGGCGAACGGGUGAGUAACACGUGGGUAACCUGCCCAUCAGAAGGGGAUAACACUUGGAAACAGGUGCUAAUACCGUAUAACAAUCGAAACCGCAUGGUUUUGAUUU
Molecule: ribosomal RNA, 217 nt
Filed under: Enterococcus faecium
Lineage: Bacteria; Bacillati; Bacillota; Bacilli; Lactobacillales; Enterococcaceae
Description: partial 16S ribosomal RNA
Rfam family: Bacterial small subunit ribosomal RNA
Source: RNAcentral